AGUGGUGGGGCCAGGCCGGCCUUUCCCAUUUCUGAGGAAUUUGUCCUGGGGGAGGGGCUAUCUUGCUGACCUGUGAGUCCCUUAGAACUUGAGAGCUUCUCCAGGUGCCGAGGAAGCUGCUCAAAACCUGAAUGCCUUGCCCAACCCACUCUGAAAAUACACCAAAGAUCAGGCUGCAGAGAGACUACCUAGCAGUUCCUGGGACAGUAAAUAGCUCCAGUUCUAACUUUGCACUCAUCACAAAGGGAGACUAAAUUGUUUUAAGAUAGACUUGAAGUUUGAGGGGCCUGCUGAGGGGACCAGGAGCCGGGCACUUGAGAGCAACCUCUAGGAACUGAGUGUGGUCUCUGGCUGACCAGGGUCCCAAGCUACCAGCUGGCACUAAAAUGAGGACCUGAGUCACAUGGUUUCAGGGAAGUGAAUCCUGCCAACAACCAUGGAUCUGUCCCAAGUUGAGCCUCCAAAUGGAGAUGCACCUGGAUGGUGAGUUGGUUUCAGCCCUUUGAGAUUCUGAGCAGAGAACUCAGUUCAAAUGUGCGGGAUCCUGGCCUACAGAAACGGGGAGGGAACAAUGGGGGUUGCUUUAAGCUGUUAGUAGCAAAUGAAUGCAGUAAUAUUUCAAGUAUUGCUCCUUUAUAUUAGAAAAAUAUGAUAAUAAUUAGAAAAGAAAUUGUGAGAAGUCAUGUUUGAUAGCUCAGGAAAUGACAGAUCAAAUGCCCCCAGCAAAUUGCCUUUUCUCUUUUCCCCAUGAGAGCUACAUUCCCAACUUUUUGUUGUUGCUGUUGGUUUUGUUUUUGUGAUCCUCUUGCCUCAGCCUCUCAAGUAGCUGGAAUUACAGGUGUGAACCAUUGUUCCCUGCUACAUUUCGACACUUCAGAUGGACACUUUCUCAUGGACAAGGGCUGGAUUGGGAGAGUUAAGGGAUGCAUGUUUGUCUUCCUCCUGACAGUUGGCCACAUGUGGUCAGCCCUUGGGAGGCCAGUGCAUGUCUCAUGGGUCCUUGCUCUGGUCCUGGGACAACCUUGGUCAGUGGAAACCACAAUUGCCCCUGCCUUGUAUGGAUUCUGAGUUCCUUCUGUUGAAACAUCUAUUCCAGACAACAUCAAGGUAAAAUGAGGUCCUCUGAAGAGAAGCACCGCUGCAGAUACUGCCAAAGUCGAGAUAUCUACUAACUGAGUCACAGCCAAACAGUGUGGCUACUCUGGACAGGGGACGGUUCCUGUCCUGGGUAGGACAGAGUGGGAUGUUAAGAGAUGGCAUCAUACACUAGGAUUGGUGUACCAUCUAAAACUUACAAAUUGUU
This is a non-coding RNA of Ictidomys tridecemlineatus (thirteen-lined ground squirrel), 1303 nucleotides long. NCBI's taxonomy places the organism in Eukaryota, Metazoa, Chordata, Mammalia, Rodentia, Sciuridae. The record is from RefSeq and is a predicted model, not a curated record.